RNAcentral lists this ribosomal RNA (430 nucleotides) under uncultured bacterium. RNAcentral's name for it is "partial 16S ribosomal RNA". It matches the Rfam family "Bacterial small subunit ribosomal RNA", at positions 29 to 507 of the family's 1533-position model. The record is from RNAcentral.
ACGCACGCUGGCGGCAGGCUUCACCCAUGCAAGUCGCACGCCCCGCAAGGGGAGUGGCAGCCGGGUGAGUAACGCGUGGGAAUCUACCCAUCCCUACGGAAUAACGCAUGGAAACGUGUGCUAAUACCGUAUACGCCCUACGGGGGAAAGAUUUAUCGGGGAUGGAUGAGCCCGCGUUGGAUUAGCUAGUUGGUGGGGUAAAGGCCUACCAAGGCGACGAUCCAUAGCUGGUCUGAGAGGAUGAUCAGCCACAUUGGGACUGAGACACGGCCCAAACUCCUACGGGAGGCAGCAGUGGGGAAUAUUGGACAAUGGGCGCAAGCCUGAUCCAGCCAUGCCGCGUGAGUGAUGAAGGCCUUAGGGUUGUAAAGCUCUUUCACCGGAGAAGAUAAUGACGGUAUCCGGAGAAGAAGCCCCGGCUAACUUCGUG